This 484-nucleotide ribosomal RNA is filed under the name uncultured bacterium. RNAcentral describes it as "partial 16S ribosomal RNA". It matches the Rfam family "Bacterial small subunit ribosomal RNA", at positions 29 to 507 of the family's 1533-position model. The record is from RNAcentral.
AUUGAACGCUGGCGGCAUGCUUUACACAUGCAAGUCGAACGGCAGCGCGGGCUUCGGCCUGGCGGCGAGUGGCGAACGGGUGAGUAAUACAUCGGAACGUGCCCAGUAGUGGGGGAUAGCUCGGCGAAAGCCGGAUUAAUACCGCAUACGACCUGAGGGUGAAAGCGGGGGAUCUUCGGACCUCGCGCUAUUGGAGCGGCCGAUGGCAGAUUAGCUAGUUGGUGGGGUAAAGGCCUACCAAGGCGACGAUCUGUAGCUGGUCUGAGAGGACGACCAGCCAGACUGGGACUGAGACACGGCCCAGGCUCCUACGGGAGGCAGCAGUGGGGAAUUUUGGACAAUGGGCGAAAGCCUGAUCCAGCAAUGCCGCGUGUGUGAUGAAGGCCUUCGGGUUGUAAAGCACUUUUGGCGGGAACGAAAAGGACUGUGCCAAUACCACGGUUCGAUGACGGUACCCGCAGAAUAAGCACCGGCUAACUACGUG